Molecule: ribosomal RNA, 519 nt
Filed under: uncultured bacterium
Lineage: Bacteria
Description: bacterial SSU rRNA
Rfam family: Bacterial small subunit ribosomal RNA
Source: RNAcentral
GAUUCUGGCUCAGGAUGAACGCUAGCGACAGGCUUAACACAUGCAAGUCGAGGGGCAGCAUAAAAGUAGCAAUACUUUGGUGGCGACCGGCGCACGGGUGAGUAACGCGUAUGCAACCUACCUAUCAGGAGGGGAAUAACCCCGGCGAAAGUCGGACUAAUACCGCAUAAAACAGGGGCACCGCAUGGUGAUAUUUGUUAAAGAAAAUUCGCUGAUAGAUGGGCAUGCGUUCCAUUAGGUAGUUGGUGAGGUAACGGCUCACCAAGCCGACGAUGGAUAGGGGAACUGAGAGGUUGGUCCCCCACACUGGUACUGAGACACGGACCAGACUCCUACGGGAGGCAGCAGUGAGGAAUAUUGGUCAAUGGGCGAGAGCCUGAACCAGCCAAGUCGCGUGGAAAAGGAAGAAGGAUCUAUGGUUACGUAAACUUCUUUUGCGAGGGGAAUAAAGUGCAGGACGUGUCCUGUUUUGUAUGUACCCUGAGAAUAAGGAUCGGCUAACUCCGUGCCAGCCGCAGC